This 745-nucleotide ribosomal RNA is filed under the name uncultured bacterium. Its description in RNAcentral is "bacterial SSU rRNA". It matches the Rfam family "Bacterial small subunit ribosomal RNA", at positions 28 to 762 of the family's 1533-position model. The record is from RNAcentral.
GAUGAACGCUAGCGGCAGGCUUAAUACAUGCAAGUCGAGGGGCAGCGCGGACUUCGGUCUGGCGGCGACCGGCAAACGGGUGCGGAACACGUACACAACCUUCCUUUUAGUGGGGGAUAGCCCAGAGAAAUUUGGAUUAAUACCCCCGUAACAUGUUGGUGAGGCAUCUCACUGAUAUUAUAGUGGCAACACGCUAGAAGACGGGUGUGCGUAUGAUUAGGUAGUUGGCGGGGUAACGGCCCACCAAGCCUUCGAUCAUUAACUGGUGUGAGAGCACGACCAGUCACACGGGCACUGAGACACGGGCCCGACUCCUACGGGAGGCAGCAGUAAGGAAUAUUGGUCAAUGGAGGAAACUCUGAACCAGCCAUGCCGCGUGGAGGAUGAAGGUCCUCUGGAUUGUAAAGCUUCUUUUAUAUGGGACGAAAAAAUGGCUUUUCCUAAGUCGACUGACGGUACCAUAUGAAUAAGCACCGGCUAACUCCGUGCCGGCAGCCGCGGUAAUACGGAGGGUGCAAGCGUUAUCCGGAUUCACUGGGUUUCAAAGGGUAGCGUAGGUGGGUUGGUAAGUCAGAGGUGAAAUCUCCGAGCUUAACUCGGAAACUGCCUUUGAUACUAUCAGUCUUGAAUAUUGUGGAGGUUAGCGGAAUAUGUCAUGUAGCGGUGAAAUGCUUAGAUAUGACAUAGAACACCAAUUGCGAAGGCAGCUGGCUACACAUAUAUUGACACUGAGGCUCGAAAGCGU